CAGCCGCCGCGGGAAUACGUAGGGUGCAAGCGUUAAUCGGAAUUACUGGGCGUAAAGCGUGCGCAGGCGGUUUGUUAAGACAGAUGUGAAAUCCCCGGGCUCAACCUGGGAACUGCAUUUGUGACUGGCAAGCUAGAGUGUGGCAGAGGGGGGUGGAAUUCCGCGUGUAGCAGUGAAAUGCGUAGAUAUGCGGAGGAACACCGAUGGCGAAGGCAGCCCCCUGGGCCAACACUGACGCUCAUGCACGAAAGCGUGGGGAGCAAACAGGAUUAGAUACCCCGGUAGUCCCUGUCUCUUAUAC
Molecule: ribosomal RNA, 301 nt
Filed under: uncultured bacterium
Lineage: Bacteria
Description: partial 16S ribosomal RNA
Rfam family: Bacterial small subunit ribosomal RNA
Source: RNAcentral